RNAcentral lists this unclassified non-coding RNA (1320 nucleotides) under Leishmania donovani. RNAcentral's name for it is "gene:LdHU3.28.2110(CDS-product:hypothetical_prote in_conserved)". The record is from RNAcentral. Lineage: Eukaryota; Euglenozoa; Kinetoplastea; Trypanosomatida; Trypanosomatidae.
UGCGCAGUCGCUGGCAAAGGUUUUUCGGUGUUUCGAUGUAGCCCACACCUACUCGCCUCUCCUACGACGCUCCUCUUUGAUCGCUGAAGCUCCGCGCAAACGUCGUCGGCGUCGUGCAGAGAACCAACCAGUCUCGCUGAGCGAUCCGAUUUUGUCAUCGCUGUAGCGACGCGAACACAGUACGAGAAGGUAUAGCUGUCGCGAUGGCACCCAAGGCUAAGCCCGAUCGAAUGGCGGGAGGCCCCUCUUCUGCCUCGAAAAGCGCCACAGACCCCAUGUUGCAGGGCACCUAUGAGCAAGACGAGUCGAACGACUUGGAGGCGUCGACAGACGAAAUCGCUGCCUUUGAGGCGCGUCUUCGGCAUCAGCAGCAGCAUGGUCGGGGCAACUCUGCAGCGGCACGGAACAUAUCGAGUGCCCCCACGUCAGGUGCUCCGCGACGCUCGUCAGCACCGGUGACCAAUAGUGCUCAUCGGCCGCAUCCGUCCUCGAGUGCCGCCCCGUCGGCGGCCGCCGGCGCAUCGUAUGCCGCCCCGCACCGCACCGCCGACCGUGGCGCGUCGGAGGAGGAUCACGCAGCGCAGACACAGCGUGGCGAGGACAUCGAGGAUGUGCGUCGUCUCGAGGACCGCUUCCGCGGUGGCGAUGACGACGAUAGCGAUGAGGAGACGGUUGCACGCCGGCGCAAGAUGGGGCUGUGAGGCGGCAAAUGAAGAGACGAAAAGGCGAAGAGAAGAGCACUCCGCACCGUUCGGCAGUGUGCUCCACAACGUUUUGCAUCUUUUCCCUCUCUGCCAGCUAACUGAGACGGCGCCAGUCUGGCGCUGCGGCCAGGGGGAAGGCGGAGGAGGAGGGACAGUGGUUGGGAAAGCAAAAGGAGUUCUGGACAUGCGCGGUGUUGUCUUGGUACUGACGACGCCGGCACCCCUCACGUAUACCUCUACCUUCUCGCGCCACGCAAAAAUGUACAUAUCUGCCCCCGCUCAUUGGCCCCCUCGUGGCUUCUGCGCCGUGAGGCGAAGCGCGGCUUUCUAUUCCUACUGUUUUGUCUGCCCCUGUGGCGCUCGCGCAGGCGUGGCCAGCGCAAGUGUGGCAGCUUAAGUGGAACGAGACGGAACGUCGAUUCGGGAGAACGAGUAGCCUCAAACGCCUGCAUAGACAACUGCAGAUUUGCGUGUACGUGCGAUGAGGGAUCUUUGUGUGGCCCACGGAGGUGUUCUUCACGGAUGAUGGUGCGGGCGCCUCUGCCCGCGUUUUCUCUUAUUUUUUUUGUCGUUUUUCCUUCGCAACCUGGCGGCGCGAACUACCCGCCCUGCACUC